GAUGAAGAACGCAGCGAAAUGCGAUAAGUAAUGUGAAUUGCAGAAUUCAGUGAAUCAUCGAAUCUUUGAACGCACAUUGCGCCCGCCAGUAUUCUGGCGGGCAUGCCUGUCUGAGCGUCAUUUCAACCCUCAAGCAACUUCUGCUUGGUGUUGGGGAUCGGCCGUCAAACGCCGCCCCCGAAAUCUAUUGGCGAUCUCGCUGUAGCUUCCUAUGCGUAGUAGUAACAUCUCGCAUCUGGAGAGCGGCGCGGUCAUGCCAUAAAACACCCAACUUCUCAGGUUGACCUCAGAUCAGGUAGGAAUACCCGCUGAACUUAAGCAUAUCAAUAAGCGGAGGA
RNAcentral lists this unclassified non-coding RNA (338 nucleotides) under soil metagenome. Its description in RNAcentral is "partial contains 5.8S ribosomal RNA, internal transcribed spacer 2, and large subunit ribosomal RNA". The stretch from base 1 to 120 matches the Rfam family "5.8S ribosomal RNA", at positions 35 to 154 of the family's 154-position model. The record is from RNAcentral.